AACACAUUACUGCCAUUAGAACGAAGGGUGGAUUGCUCAUAGUUUGGGAAUUGUUCCUCACCUUCAGUCUGAAAUUACGCUACAAAAUUGUUAAAUAUGUCAUUUUUUUAAUAAAAUAUGAAUUGAUCUGAGAAGUUUAGUGACAGAUAUACCGGUCAAUCUUGACCAUUGCCAUGACAAAGCAAAGAUAAUUCUUUCUCACAGAUACAAACGGAAGUAAUUACAAACAUGAAAUAAAAGAGAACCAGCAGUAGCUCAAAGAACAAUAACAGCACAGACAUGUGAACAACCUACAGGCAACACAUCCCAAACAGAGGCCAACGCCACACCUUCGGCACGAACUCUAGAUGUAAAUGAAUUUUAUCUCGAAACAUAAACGAAACAAAUGCUCUCAUCCGGGGACCAGGCGGCCACGGAGGUCUGCGGCUCGACUGCCUCCUCCUUAACAGUGGGUGCCUCCUCGGAACAUAUGAACCUAACUUUGCUUCAUUGAGAAAAUUAGAAAUACCUAGACAUUACGUGACUAUUUGCGGUACCAAAUUAUCAGUCCAACUAACUUAAAAAUUAAAAUUGGUGCAAUACCCUACAUGUUGACAAGACAGUGAAGUCCAAUGAUUAGCUUCAACAUUACUGAAUCGUUAAGAUUGUAAAUGAUGGCCUUCUUGCUCAUUGUUUCGCUGAUUAGAAAUCUGCAAUAGGACGUAAAUAGUUUAACGGAGAAGAAAUUUGUUGGAAUAUAUUUGUGAGCUACGGCUGAAAGCUUAUCUAGCUAGUUUCGUCGUGCAUGCUAGUCUCCAAAAAUCAAUCAACAUGCCUGCUUCCAAGCACUUGUAUAUGCAUGUUGCUAUGGACGAAAGCACUUUGGAUGUACACCAUUCACAAAUUACUAUCAGAACUAAAUCUGUUUGGAUCUAAAAAUCAACUCUAAAAUUAGUGAAGAGACCUCGUGAGGUUAAUAUUUCACUUAUUCAGAUUAACUCUAAAAAUCAGCUAGAUUGAUUUGCACAGCAAAUUGCAAACAAGUUACCCAGAUCAAUCAAUAGGCGUAGAAGGUUGUGGCCAGAUCGAUUCAUCAGUUUUUUUUAUGUUCUAGUAGGAUGUGGUCAAAUAGAUUCAUCACAAAAUAAACUCCAUUGCAAAAAGGCGCACUCAAACCAACAAAAACAUGAACGGGACUGAGUCUAAUUACUAAGUUGUAGCAAAUGCACGUGUGGAGCGGACAGGCAGCUAGAGACGAUGAGCAGCCGACGAAGACCUAUUCAGUUUUUGCUAUAACAAAAUGCACACAUAACAAAUUGAAACAAUCAUUAGCCAGCAAGAAAAUACGGAGUCUCUUUUACCCCUAAUCUCAAACUAUCAUAAAAAUUGGUACAAACCUGAAACAAAUUUUUGCUUCACUUCUUGUAGGCAUUAUAACAAACACUGGGCAGAAAACAUACGGAAGUGAUUGCUGUGCUGGUGCCCAUGGCGGAGGGUCACAGCAGGCUAGUUGUGCAGAUGAAUGGCGAAAGUCACACUGGAAUCUGCAAUUGCGCAAUUUCAUUCAAAUCAUGACAUGGAAUGAAUAUUGACAUCGACACACCAUCAACGGACAAAGUACCUUCACAAGGGGACGGGAUGGCGUCCUGACAUCCGGUUGAUUGAGUAGGUCGACGGCUGCAGCAUCUAGAUGGGCCGUGGAAAGGGGGGACUCUGCUGGCCAACAUGCGUGGGUGGCGAUGAAGCGGGCAAACAGGGUGGAGCAGUAGGACGAAGGAGGGCCAUGGCUGUGGACAAACGGCUCAGGAUCUGGCCAUCCCAUCUCUAGGUGAGAUCUCUCCAUCCACCACCACCAGAG
Molecule: long non-coding RNA, 1837 nt
Filed under: Triticum aestivum (bread wheat)
Lineage: Eukaryota; Viridiplantae; Streptophyta; Magnoliopsida; Poales; Poaceae
Description: long non-coding RNA (TAES_LNC021406)
Source: RNAcentral